Molecule: ribosomal RNA, 465 nt
Filed under: uncultured bacterium
Lineage: Bacteria
Description: partial 16S ribosomal RNA
Rfam family: Bacterial small subunit ribosomal RNA
Source: RNAcentral
GAACGCUGGCGGCGUGCUUAACACAUGCAAGUCGAACGGAAAGGCCCUGCUUUUGUGGGGUGCUCGAGUGGCGAACGGGUGAGUAACACGGGAGUAACCUGCCCUUGACUUUGGGAUAACUUCAGGAAACUGGGGCUAAUACCGGAUAGGAGCUCCUGCUGCAUGGUGGGGGUUGGAAAGUUUCGGCGGUUGGGGAUGGACUCGCGGCUUAUCAGCUUGUUGGUGGGGUAGUGGCUUACCAAGGCUUUGACGGGUAGCCGGCCUGAGAGGGUGACCGGCCACAUUGGGACUGAGAUACGGCCCAGACUCCUACGGGAGGCAGCAGUGGGGAAUAUUGCACAAUGGGCGGAAGCCUGAUGCAGCAACGCCGCGUGCGGGAUGACGGCCUUCGGGUUGUAAACCGCUUUCGCCUGUGACGAAGCGUGAGUGACGGUAAUGGGUAAAGAAGCACCGGCUAACUACGUG